RNAcentral lists this ribosomal RNA (501 nucleotides) under Triticum aestivum (bread wheat). Its description in RNAcentral is "partial small subunit ribosomal RNA". The record is from RNAcentral. Lineage: Eukaryota; Viridiplantae; Streptophyta; Magnoliopsida; Poales; Poaceae.
AUGCCUAUCUGCGAGUCGCUUGCUAUCUUGGAGUACAUCGAUGAGGUCUACCAUGGGAUAGGACCCUCCCUCCUCCCCGCCGACCCCUACCAACGUGCUAGGGCUCGAUUCUGGGCCAUCUACAUUGACGACAAGCUAGUCGCGCCAUGGUGGAAGAUGUUUGUGGGCAAGACAGAUAAGGAGAAAGAUGAAGGGACAAUGCAAACGCUAGCGGCGGUGGAUAUGCUAGAGGGGGCCUUGAGGGAAUGCUCCAAGGGGAAGCCGUUCUUUGGAGGAGACAACGUCGGAUAUGUUGAUGUUGUGUUGGGUGGUAUGGUUGCAUGGAUGCAAGGAACCGAGGCGCUUUGUGGUGUGGAGCUUCUACAUACCACCAAGACUCCGCUUCUAUUGGCAUGGAUGGAGCGCUUUGGCGAAAUGGAACCCGCCAAGGUGGUUCUGCCAAAAGUCGAUAGGCUGGUUGAGUUUGCAAAGAUGAAACGUGCCCAAAGGGCUCUAAUCUAA